AGUGAACGCUGGCGGUAGGCCUAACACAUGCCAGCCGAACGGCAGCACAGUAAGAGCUUGCUCUUACGGGUGGCGAGUGGCGGACGGGUGCGGAAUACAUCGGAAUCUACUUUUUCGUGGGGGAUAACGUAGGGAAUCUUACGCUAAUACCGCAUACGGCCUACGGGUGAAAGCAGGGGAUCUUCGGCCCUUGCGCGAUUGAAUGAGCCGAUGUCGGAUUAGCUAGUUGGCGGGGUAAAGGCCCACCAAGGCGACGAUCCGUAGCUGGUCUGAGAGGAUGAUCAGCCACACUGGAACUGAGACACGGUCCAGACUCCUACGGGAGGCAGCAGUGGGGAAUAUUGGACAAUGGGCGCAAGCCUGAUCCAGCCAUACCGCGUGGGUGAAGAAGGCCUUCGGAUUGUAAAGCCCUUUUGGUGGGAAAGAAAAGCAGCAGGUUAAUACCCCGCUGUUCUGACGGUACCCAAAGAAUAAGCACCGGCUAACUUCGUG
This 492-nucleotide ribosomal RNA is filed under the name uncultured bacterium. RNAcentral's name for it is "partial 16S ribosomal RNA". It matches the Rfam family "Bacterial small subunit ribosomal RNA", at positions 29 to 507 of the family's 1533-position model. The record is from RNAcentral.